GGGGGGGGGGCGGAAGGGUUUUUUUAUACAGUAGGACUGUAGGGUAGCAAUCCAUUCAUAAAACUUGUUGAGUUUACCAGGACAGUCUGAUAAACCGCAAGUAUGUCAGGAGAUGAAUAUUAAAGAAAUAGUUUCUGCUUGAAGGGCCCUAGGGAUGGGUGGGUGUUGGGGAGACGGAGCCCUGGUGGUUGGCACUGGAGGAGAGAUAGGCUACAGUGGUUGUCUUUGAUAAAAAGAUAGGAAAGAGGAGCUUCCUGUAAGAAAGUCUAUUCAUUACAUGGGAGACACUACUCUGUACUACACUCUUACAAAAGAUACAAUUAUUUUUUUUUGAGACCAUUAAAAAGAAAGAAAGAAAAAGCCCAGACAUUCUUUUGCAUAAAGGCUGUCAUAAUAUGAGCAUUGAAAGCACUAGACAACUUAGAAACAUAUUUCACUGCUUGCAAAUCAUUUCUACACUGAGCCUGCAUCACAUAUACCAAUUGUUUGUACCUCAUUAACCACUGUCACCACUUGAUAUCUUUGUGUUGCUAAUAGUUUUUACCCUUCCUUCUAAACUAGUCAUGUUUAUUUGCUUAUUUUAAUUAUGUUUUUUUUUAUUUCCAAUGUUUAUGAAUUAACAAUUUUGAUUACUUUGUACUAUUCAUGAAUUUACAUUAUAAAAAAAAAGUAACAAAAAAAAAUUUGACAUGAACAAUAAACCACUAAUGAAACAAUUUGAAA
This is a non-coding RNA of Biomphalaria pfeifferi, 723 nucleotides long. NCBI's taxonomy places the organism in Eukaryota, Metazoa, Mollusca, Gastropoda, Planorbidae. The record is from the annotation of a GenBank genome assembly.